AUGGGCUCCUGGGACUGCAGCCGCAGACGUGCAAAACUUCAAAAACAGCUCAGCCCACCUCUUCCCCCAGUGGUGCUAAGGGGGCCUGCGAGGGCCAGUACCAGAAACCGCCGCCCACUCCCGCAGGCUGCAGACAGACGCUUCUGGGGCAGCCAGAUGCGGCCCUGCCCAAGCCCAUUCCUGGGCCGGGGCCAGGGGACUGAACUGGGAUGGCCACCUUCAAGCGGCCCGCUGGGUCCUGGGCAGAGCAGGCAGGCUCCUCUGGGCUGCACAGCUGCAGCGUGUGUCCCAACUGCCCCAUCUCUUCACUGGUCAGGGGUCCCGCAGCGGGGGCAGGGGUGGGCACGGGGCUCCUGAGCUUCUGGUGGA
RNAcentral lists this long non-coding RNA (369 nucleotides) under Ovis aries (sheep). RNAcentral's name for it is "lncRNA (ENSOARG00000025700.1)". Lineage: Eukaryota; Metazoa; Chordata; Mammalia; Artiodactyla; Bovidae. The record is from RNAcentral.